RNAcentral lists this ribosomal RNA (400 nucleotides) under phytoplankton environmental sample. RNAcentral describes it as "partial small subunit ribosomal RNA". It matches the Rfam family "Eukaryotic small subunit ribosomal RNA", at positions 587 to 991 of the family's 1831-position model. The record is from RNAcentral.
AGCUCCAAUAGCGUAUAUUAAAGUUGUUGCAGUUAAAAAGCUCGUAGUUGGAUUUGUGGCUGUCUCGAGCGGCCCGGCACUUAGUGCCGGUGCUUGCUUGCGUCGCCAUCCUUGGGUGGAACCUGUGUGGCAUUAGGUUGUCGUGCAGGGGAUGCCCAUCGUUUACUGUGAAAAAAUUAGAGUGUUCAAAGCAGGCUUAUGCCGUUGAAUAUGUUAGCAUGGAAUAAUAAGAUAGGACCUUGGUACUAUUUUGUUGGUUUGCGCACCAAGGUAAUGAUUAAAAGGGACAGUUGUGGGUAUUCGUAUUCCAUUGUCAGAGGUGAAAUUCUUGGAUUUUUGGAAGACGAACUACUGCGAAAGCAUUUACCAAGGAUGUUUUCAUUAAUCAAGAACGAAAGUA